AGGGCACCACCAGGAGUGGAGCCUGCGGCUUAAUUUGACUCAACACGGGAAAACUCACCCGGCCCGGACACUGGAAGGAUUGACAGAUUGAGAGCUCUCUCUUGAUUCAGUGGGUGGUGGUGCAUGGCCGUUCUUAGUUGGUGGAGCGAUUUGUCUGGUUAAUUCCGAUAACGAACGAGACUCUAGCCUACUAAAUAGAUCGUCGGCUUACAAACGCUGAUGAGACUUCUUAGAGGGACAGGAGGCGAUUCAGCCGCACGAAACAGAGCAAUAACAGGUCUGUGAUGCCCUUAGAUGUCCGGGGCCGCACGCGCGCUACACUGAAGUGAUCAGCGUGCAUUUUCAGCCUACUCUGCCAAGAGUGGGAAACCCAAUGAACCUUCUUCGUGAUUGGGAUAGGAGAUUGUAAUUAUUCUCCUUGAACGAGGAAUUCCCAGUAAGCGCGAGUCAUAAGCUCGCGUUGAUUACGUCCCUGCCCUUUGUACACACCGCCCGUCGCUACUACCGAUUGAAUGUUUU
This 519-nucleotide ribosomal RNA is filed under the name uncultured eukaryote. RNAcentral's name for it is "SSU rRNA". It matches the Rfam family "Eukaryotic small subunit ribosomal RNA", at positions 1161 to 1699 of the family's 1831-position model. The record is from RNAcentral.